Molecule: non-coding RNA, 113 nt
Filed under: Fulvimarina pelagi
Lineage: Bacteria; Pseudomonadati; Pseudomonadota; Alphaproteobacteria; Hyphomicrobiales; Aurantimonadaceae
Also listed under: 1 other name
Description: TPP sequence
Rfam family: TPP riboswitch aptamer (THI element)
About the family: Vitamin B(1) in its active form thiamin pyrophosphate (TPP) is an essential coenzyme that is synthesised by coupling of pyrimidine and thiazole moieties in bacteria. The previously detected thiamin-regulatory element, thi box was extended, resulting in a new, highly conserved RNA secondary structure, the THI element, which is widely distributed in eubacteria and also occurs in some archaea.
Source: RNAcentral
UCUUCGUCCAAGGGGAGUUCCGGCAAGGAACUGAGAGGCUGCUAUACACUGCGCGGCGACCCGUAGAACCUGAUCCAGUUCGUACUGGCGUAGGGAUGGAAGAACGCUGCGGA